This 515-nucleotide long non-coding RNA is filed under the name Homo sapiens (human). Its description in RNAcentral is "HSALNT0156301". Lineage: Eukaryota; Metazoa; Chordata; Mammalia; Primates; Hominidae. The record is from RNAcentral.
CUGCAGUGGCUCCAGGCAGUUCUAUCCAGAACACCCUGAGAUCCUUUCGGAGGACCUGAGGGCAUUGGGCUGCCCUGAUGGACGAGCUGCCCGGGAGAGGGUCAACUGGGAAGCCAAGGACACAUUCUGCUUUGCCCUGGGCAUAUGUGGAUUCUUCCCACAGCCAGAUUUCCAGGAAUGUUUGGGGCAGGAAAUUCUAUCCCAGUUGAAGAGUGCCCGUGCAUCCCUGGGGCACCCCACAGGCGACUGACAGAAUGGACCAGACACAUGGGCGUCUGUCUCAGACAGGGUGUUCCAUACUCAGAACCAGGUCUUAGGAGUAGACACAGCACCCGAUGGACGGGGCCUGCCCCUGAGAACAGCCAGAAGCUGCGACCUCCGAGGGUUUCUUCCUGCUGGUCUCUGAGGAGUUAAGAGGCGGUGGGGCCGAUGAAAGAGUAAAGUUACUGGGUCUGCCCACACCUGGGGACACCUGGACAGGAGCCCAGGACUUCCUAGUGGUGGAUUGGGGAACU